Molecule: ribosomal RNA, 2501 nt
Filed under: Escherichia coli
Lineage: Bacteria; Pseudomonadati; Pseudomonadota; Gammaproteobacteria; Enterobacterales; Enterobacteriaceae
Description: partial 23S ribosomal RNA
Rfam family: Bacterial large subunit ribosomal RNA
Source: RNAcentral
CACACUAUCAUUAACUGAAUCCAUAGGUUAAUGAGGCGAACCGGGGGAACUGAAACAUCUAAGUACCCCGAGGAAAAGAAAUCAACCGAGAUUCCCCCAGUAGCGGCGAGCGAACGGGGAGCAGCCCAGAGCCUGAAUCAGUGUGUGUGUUAGUGGAAGCGUCUGGAAAGGCGCGCGAUACAGGGUGACAGCCCCGUACACAAAAAUGCACAUGCUGUGAGCUCGAUGAGUAGGGCGGGACACGUGGUAUCCUGUCUGAAUAUGGGGGGACCAUCCUCCAAGGCUAAAUACUCCUGACUGACCGAUAGUGAACCAGUACCGUGAGGGAAAGGCGAAAAGAACCCCGGCGAGGGGAGUGAAAAAGAACCUGAAACCGUGUACGUACAAGCAGUGGGAGCACGCUUAGGCGUGUGACUGCGUACCUUUUGUAUAAUGGGUCAGCGACUUAUAUUCUGUAGCAAGGUUAACCGAAUAGGGGAGCCGAAGGGAAACCGAGUCUUAACUGGGCGUUAAGUUGCAGGGUAUAGACCCGAAACCCGGUGAUCUAGCCAUGGGCAGGUUGAAGGUUGGGUAACACUAACUGGAGGACCGAACCGACUAAUGUUGAAAAAUUAGCGGAUGACUUGUGGCUGGGGGUGAAAGGCCAAUCAAACCGGGAGAUAGCUGGUUCUCCCCGAAAGCUAUUUAGGUAGCGCCUCGUGAAUUCAUCUCCGGGGGUAGAGCACUGUUUCGGCAAGGGGGUCAUCCCGACUUACCAACCCGAUGCAAACUGCGAAUACCGGAGAAUGUUAUCACGGGAGACACACGGCGGGUGCUAACGUCCGUCGUGAAGAGGGAAACAACCCAGACCGCCAGCUAAGGUCCCAAAGUCAUGGUUAAGUGGGAAACGAUGUGGGAAGGCCCAGACAGCCAGGAUGUUGGCUUAGAAGCAGCCAUCAUUUAAAGAAAGCGUAAUAGCUCACUGGUCGAGUCGGCCUGCGCGGAAGAUGUAACGGGGCUAAACCAUGCACCGAAGCUGCGGCAGCGACGCUUAUGCGUUGUUGGGUAGGGGAGCGUUCUGUAAGCCUGCGAAGGUGUGCUGUGAGGCAUGCUGGAGGUAUCAGAAGUGCGAAUGCUGACAUAAGUAACGAUAAAGCGGGUGAAAAGCCCGCUCGCCGGAAGACCAAGGGUUCCUGUCCAACGUUAAUCGGGGCAGGGUGAGUCGACCCCUAAGGCGAGGCCGAAAGGCGUAGUCGAUGGGAAACAGGUUAAUAUUCCUGUACUUGGUGUUACUGCGAAGGGGGGACGGAGAAGGCUAUGUUGGCCGGGCGACGGUUGUCCCGGUUUAAGCGUGUAGGCUGGUUUUCCAGGCAAAUCCGGAAAAUCAAGGCUGAGGCGUGAUGACGAGGCACUACGGUGCUGAAGCAACAAAUGCCCUGCUUCCAGGAAAAGCCUCUAAGCAUCAGGUAACAUCAAAUCGUACCCCAAACCGACACAGGUGGUCAGGUAGAGAAUACCAAGGCGCUUGAGAGAACUCGGGUGAAGGAACUAGGCAAAAUGGUGCCGUAACUUCGGGAGAAGGCACGCUGAUAUGUAGGUGAAGUCCCUCGCGGAUGGAGCUGAAAUCAGUCGAAGAUACCAGCUGGCUGCAACUGUUUAUUAAAAACACAGCACUGUGCAAACACGAAAGUGGACGUAUACGGUGUGACGCCUGCCCGGUGCCGGAAGGUUAAUUGAUGGGGUCAGCGCAAGCGAAGCUCUUGAUCGAAGCCCCGGUAAACGGCGGCCGUAACUAUAACGGUCCUAAGGUAGCGAAAUUCCUUGUCGGGUAAGUUCCGACCUGCACGAAUGGCGUAAUGAUGGCCAGGCUGUCUCCACCCGAGACUCAGUGAAAUUGAACUCGCUGUGAAGAUGCAGUGUACCCGCGGCAAGACGGAAAGACCCCGUGAACCUUUACUAUAGCUUGACACUGAACAUUGAGCCUUGAUGUGUAGGAUAGGUGGGAGGCUUGGAAGUGUGGACGCCAGUCUGCAUGGAGCCGACCUUGAAAUACCACCCUUUAAUGUUUGAUGUUCUAACGUUGACCCGUAAUCCGGGUUGCGGACAGUGUCUGGUGGGUAGUUUGACUGGGGCGGUCUCCUCCUAAAGAGUAACGGAGGAGCACGAAGGUUGGCUAAUCCUGGUCGGACAUCAGGAGGUUAGUGCAAUGGCAUAAGCCAGCUUGACUGCGAGCGUGACGGCGCGAGCAGGUGCGAAAGCAGGUCAUAGUGAUCCGGUGGUUCUGAAUGGAAGGGCCAUCGCUCAACGGAUAAAAGGUACUCCGGGGAUAACAGGCUGAUACCGCCCAAGAGUUCAUAUCGACGGCGGUGUUUGGCACCUCGAUGUCGGCUCAUCACAUCCUGGGGCUGAAGUAGGUCCCAAGGGUAUGGCUGUUCGCCAUUUAAAGUGGUACGCGAGCUGGGUUUAGAACGUCGUGAGACAGUUCGGUCCCUAUCUGCCGUGGGCGCUGGAGAACUGAGGGG